RNAcentral lists this unclassified non-coding RNA (22 nucleotides) under Chlamydomonas reinhardtii. RNAcentral describes it as "small RNA Cre_2060". The record is from RNAcentral. Lineage: Eukaryota; Viridiplantae; Chlorophyta; Chlorophyceae; Chlamydomonadales; Chlamydomonadaceae.
GUGGGCGUGACAGCUGCAGGGU